RNAcentral lists this ribosomal RNA (465 nucleotides) under uncultured bacterium. Its description in RNAcentral is "partial 16S ribosomal RNA". It matches the Rfam family "Bacterial small subunit ribosomal RNA", at positions 338 to 795 of the family's 1533-position model. The record is from RNAcentral.
CCUACGUGAGGCAGCAGUGGGGAAUAUUGCGCAAUGGGCGAAAGCCUGACGCAGCGACGCCGCGUGAGGGAUGAAGGUCUUCGGAUCGUAAACCUCUGUCAGCAGGGAAGAACGGUCACUGUGCUAAUCAGCAGUGAAUUGACGGUACCUGCAAAGGAAGCACCGGCUAACUCCGUGCCAGCAGCCGCGGUAAUACGGAGGGUGCGAGCGUUAAUCGGAAUUACUGGGCGUAAAGCGCUCGUAGGCGGUAUGUCAAGUCAAGGGUGAAAUCCCCGCGCUCAACGUGGGAACUGCCUUUGAAACUGGCAAACUGGAGUGUGUGAGAGGAUAGUGGAAUUCCAGGUGUAGGAUUGAAAUCCGUAGAUAUCUGGAGGAACAUCAGUGGCGAAGGCGACUAUCUGGCACAUAACUGACGCUGAGGAGCGAAAGCGUGGGUAGCAAACAGGAUUAGAUACCCUAGUAGUC